GGCGACUGUCGUUAGCUAGCGCAAUUUUGAAACCACAAAAUUUGAUCCAAUUUGAUCCUUCUAUUGUUUUAAUGAAGGUGCCUAUAACAGCAGUGGCGGCGGUGCUUGAAGAUGAAGUAAAACUCACUACUGUGCUUGCAAGCGUGUGCGCAGAAGGGGUGCCACUACCAUGACGAUGACAAAUCGAAUGCGCAUGUUGAUGAAACAGCACGGCACGUAACUGGCAUGCCAUUUAAACCAAUGAGAGCGCAAAAAAUUAAUGCUCAGCCAAUGGAAAUGUGUGUACACGGUAACGUCACGAUCAUGGCCGUAACUACAGAGAGAAAAUGUACUUCGUAAUGAAAUGAAAUUAGAAUAAGUUGUAGAGUUAUUGGAAGAAAGAAAAUAUGAAAGAAUGGGAGGAUAGGUGGAUGAAAAGAAGCAAAAAUAACAAAGGUGACUUAUGAAAGUGUAACCUGAAACACCUUACGGGCUUCCUGUGGUUUAUAUAACACAGGCAACCCAAUAGUGUUGAUAGCCGACAUGGCGGAUCUAGAAGAAGAAGAAGGAUCGUCCUUCAACGUUAGAGAUAGACUUAUAUCACCAACACAUUCAAGUACAAACGCUACAAANCUUGAUGAGGAAUUUGAAUUAAUCCAACCCGUCAAUUUUAGCCAACCACUUGGUUGCUGUAAUAUUUGUCCAGGUAAAACAUUGAUGGUUUUGGCNUCAUUUCUGGCUGGUCUUGGUGGUAUUCUCUUUGGUUAUGAUAUUGGUAUUGUAUCUGGUGCUGUAUUGCAACUACGGAAAGAAUUCACCCUGAGUUGUUUCCAGCAAGAAAUGAUUGUCAGUUCAAUGUUGAUUGGUGCAGUGUUAGCUUCUCUUACUGGAGGAUUUAUUGUAGAUUUUCUAGGUAGACGUCGUGCUAUCAUCAUAAACUCUGUUAUCUUCUUGGUUGGUGCUAUAAUAUUAGCAGUUGCUCAGAGUUAUCCAGUUCUGGUGUUAGGAAGACUGAUUGUUGGGUUUGGUGUGUCCUUAUCUGCUACUGCCGAGUGUAUCUACAUAUCUGAAAUAGCACCUGCUAAAUGGCGAGGGAUGCUUGUAUCUCUCAAUGAAUUAGGAAUAUGUCUUGGUCUCUUGCUCGCUUAUGUUGUUAAUUUUCUAUUCAUUGAUGUCCCAUCUGGUUGGAGAUAUAUGUUUGGUUUGUCAGGGAUUCCAGCCCUGGUCCAAGGAAUUGGAAUGUUUUUUCUACCACAAAGUCCAAGAUGGUUAAUAGUUAAUGGUCAGGAGGCAAAGGCUUGUACCAGUAUACACCAGUUACACUGGAUGGGUGAUCCAUAUGAAGAGAUGGCCAAAAUCAAGUCUGGCAUUCAUACUACACAUCAUUACAAAUUCAAAGACUUGUUCAGUAAGACAGACAAUAUGCGACAAAGAAUGCUUGUUGGGUGUGGUGUGAUAUUCUUUCAACAGUUUACAGGUCAACCUACAGUAGUAUAUUAUGCAUCAACAAUCUUCCAAGUUCUUGGGUUCCACAGUGGAGGAAAAGCUACUCUUGCCACUCUGAGUAUUGGUUUGGCCAAGCUCAUGGCUACUAUAGCUUCAUUGUUGACUGUGGACAGAGGAGGUCGCCGUCGGUUCCUGCUGCUUGGUUCAUCAGUGAUGUGUGUGAGCAUCCUUACUCUUGGCCUUGUGGUCCAUUAUCUACCNAUUGAGCUACACCCUUCUAACAAGUGCCAGUAUUCUGACACCUCUCCAAUGAACGUCAAUNACAACAGUAGCAUUACUACACUUCGCAUCCCGAGCACUUUAAACCCUUUGUCCAUCCACGCAACCUCCCAUGGCCAGAGUACUAGUAUUCUGACGAGGACGGAUUUUUCAUUGCCCAAGAANACUUCUCCUGUUANUCCUGGCUUGAAGUAUAUUUCACUUACUGCUAUGGUUCUGUUUGUUGGCGCAUACUCAUUUGGAUUUGGACCAGUUUCCUGGCUGUUGUUAAGUGAAAUAUUUCCCUCAGCCAUCAAGGGUCGAGCCUUUGCAUUCUCCACUGUACUUAACUGGGGCUCUAAUCUGAUCGUUUCCUUGACCUUCCUGGACCUUAUAAGCUCAAUAGGCACAUCAUGGACGUGUUANCUUUACUCCUUUAUUGGGAUGAUAUCAGUCAUUUUCAUCUAUAAAUACGUACCAGAGACAAAAAACAGAACAUUAGAACAAAUAUCUGCUGAAUUCAAUUCCAGAAAAACAAGAAACGUCAUCCCCAAGUCACUGAUAAAAUGUCUAGGGACUAUGACGUCACGAGACGGUGUUCAGAGAAGACGGCCGUUUAAUACUGGGUCUGCUUCGGAUGUCUUGCUAGAAAAUGACUCUGGAGAGACAUGACGAGGACUGAGGUGCUGGCGAUGGUCAUGGAAUAGAACUAGGGUAUGACAUAGAUAGCGCUAGCUUUGGCUGUGCGAUAGCUCCAUGGUUUCAAACAACCACCCUUGAAAUGUGGAGAAUUACAAGCGUUGGGUUGCCUGUUGAUAUAGACUUGGUGGACGACCAGAAUUUUAAGCGUUGGGUUUCCUGUUGGUACAGGUAUAUGUGUCAGACGUGGAGAAGACCGACUGUGAAAAAUCCAAGUGCUGGGUUAUCUGAUGACACAGGUAUCUCAAGUGUCGACCACCGAAGUGCACGGAAAUAGUAAAAACUCCAAGUGAUGGUUUACUUGUUAACACAGGUAUCCCAAGUGGAUGAGAAUCGAGUAGAAGUAGAAAGUGGCCCACUCUAGCCGAGGAAUACGACAAAAUAACCGAAAAAAGCAAUAAUUGCUCGAAUUCAAGGAGCCAAUGAAAAAGCACGAAGUUCGACUCAGGCGUAGGCAAUUUUUAUUCAACGCUACUCUGAAAUUUAACCCACCAAAAAUGAUACAUUUAGGUCGUCACCUGGAUGGUUUAUUUGUUUAUUUAUUAACAAAUGAAUGGCUAUGAGAUAAAUCCUNAUCAAAACACGACUUGAAUAAAUCAACGAAUCCCUGCUUCAUUAUGGAAAUACAAAUAUAGCCAUCCUAUNUAUGAUUAAGAAGACCGAUGCUUCUAUCAAAACUUCAAUAUACAUUAUAUAUAUCUGGUUAAACUAGUAUUGGGCUUCCUUUGUCCACAGGAAUCCCGUUCGAUAAAAUCGUACCUCGAGACCUGUACCUCAAGAAAUCACAAAUAAUUCCUAGAUUAUUUUUGCUAGGGCAAAUUCAGUUUACUUCUCUUUGGUUUCUUAAAGUUUCGUCUGAAUAGUGUAGAAUAUACAUCUGGAUCAUUGCCUUUUACACCUGGUGCUAGGACGUUCUGGCGGAGCAUUCUGGGAAUGUUUCCGGCCGGGCGGUAGAGUGCUACUAUGUAGACUGGACCAGACUGGUUCGUAGGGGUUCGAGCACAUCCGACUCCUAACUCCUUACUGUCCUUCCAUACUACCUGUGGACGGUAAAAAUGGAUUUGACCAUGAAAACUCCUCGAAACAGUGUCUGUGUGUCUGUGUAACCUGUGUGAAGGUGUCUGUGUGUCUGUCUAACCUGUGUGAAGCUAAGGUGUCUGUGUGUCUCUUACCUGUGUAAAGGUGUCUGUGUGCCUAUCUAACCUGUGUGAAGCUAAGGUGUCUGUGUGUCUGUCUUACCUGUGUAAAGGUGUCUGUGUCAGCAUUCAGUCUAGGGUCUGAGUAGCUGUAGUUUUUAGCUUGGCUGUACCAGAGGUUGGUUGCUAUCUCUCCAGCAUCGUCACAUGUCAUGAAACCUGCAAUGAAUGUAAUCAUUCAUCAAAUUGUUAAGUAAUGGCAUAAAUACUAUGGUUUCCAUCGAUCUAUUGCCCCCCGCACCAGGCGUUUCUCUCCUGGUUCUAUGAGAAAAGAGAAAGACAGCAACUUGAUGGGGGCGCAACAGGUCAGAUGAAGAAUAGACUGAUCUUUAUUUAUAUCUUACCUGCAAGCUUAGCGAGGUUUUGACCCAAAUUAACAGCCAUAUUUCGCUGGCCAGACGAGAACGACCCACCCCUCGCCAUGCUAUCGACUAUAGCUUGUGCUUGAUCAGCGAGCGAAUCUGACCAGUUUAAUGGAGGAGAGUGAUGGAUGCUGCGGUAUUUNUUGUGUGACUCUAGCGCUGAAUGCGGUACAGUACUUUUGGAAUCUGGUAUGAACACUGAACAUAAAAGAUAACCAUGAUUNGGUUAGUUCUUUCUCAUGUGUUGCNGCUAGAGCAUCAGCAUNAGCAACAUACACAGANUCAGUGCAGCUCUUCUCUCACAAUUCUAAGGAAAUACAACUGCUGGUAAUGAGCAUUGCACAACUAAGUCUACAACACAAGUUCUUUCUCAUGUGUUGCAGCUAAAGUAUAAGCAUCAGCAACAUACAGGUGUGAAAAAAAGAAAACUGCUGUUGAUGAAAAAUGCACAACUGAGUGUACAACACAAGUAUAAGCAUCAGCAACAUACACAGACUCAGAGCAGCUCUUCUCUAACAGGUGUUAGGAAAGACAACUGCUGUUAAUNAGCANUGCACAACUGAGUCUACAACANAAGUAUAAGCAUCAGNAACANACACAGACUCAGUGCAGCUNUUCUCUAACAGGUGUGACGAAAGACAAUGAGUCUGCAUAUGUUUUUUGCAACAGUUCAACGCCAAGCUUUUUUAAAACAUGCUCCAGCGACUUGUCGCCCUAGAGUGUGCUCUUGCGAGUAAUUUAUUAGAAAGUUAUUUAUUAUGUGCAUCAUUAUUUAUUUUUGUAUUUUCACUUAUUAUUUUUCUUUUUAUUCGUAUUCGUGAUGUGCAAAUACCUUGUAAAAUUCUACUGUAAGUUGGACCAGCAACUGGAGGUUUCCAAAUUGAAAUGUGAAAAUAUAAAAAAUAAAACAAGUUAGUAUAGUCACAAUUAUUAAAUGGUAGGAUAUU
RNAcentral lists this unclassified non-coding RNA (4887 nucleotides) under Actinia tenebrosa (Australian red waratah sea anemone). Its description in RNAcentral is "solute carrier family 2, facilitated glucose transporter member 10-like, transcript variant X1". The record is from RNAcentral. Lineage: Eukaryota; Metazoa; Cnidaria; Anthozoa; Actiniaria; Actiniidae.